UGACAGACUUUCUCCGCCUUGGCUGAUAUUUGUAGUCGGGGUGGUCCUUCUUAUGCUGCACUCUCAAACGCUCAGCUUCUUCCACAAACGGGCGCUUCUCUGCUUCGUUGAGCAAUCUGAAAAUAUCACAGAGAAUUGUACAUUCACAUUAAAACGUAUUCAAUUAACAACAAGCACAAAACAGAGUUGAUUAAUCACUGUAGGAGAUGUGCAAUUAACUGAAUUAUUGCAUUCACUGUUUUAAUAUUAACUAUCAAGAGAAGGCAGCUAAAAUAAAAGUAUGCGCAUCCUAAGUCUAAACCACUUCUAUAACCUACUCGAACAUACAAUUAAGAAAAAUAUCCAAAAUCACAAUAAGAAAACAGUAUUUGAGAGAAAUAUAGUUUGAAAUGCGUUAUUGAAAUUCCCAGACAGAUUGAAGAAGCUCUACGUAAAACAGCAGGCAGGUGGUGCAUUUCAUCGAAGAAAUAGUACGCUGCGCACAGCGGCGCGUAAAAACGCACAAGUGAUUGCGAAUGCAGAGCGAACCUACCUCCAAAGUUUGCCCAGGGUUUUGCUGAGUUCCGCGUUGUGCAAAUGCGGGUACUGAUCGGCCAGCUUCCUCCGUGCGGCUUGAGCCCAGACCAUGAAUGCAUUCAUGGGUCUUUUGACGUGAGGUUUACUUUUACUUGAGCCGUUGACGCGCACCGGCAUGGGCACCAGCGUCCAGUCGUAGCCCUUCAACACCUGGGACACCGCAUCUCUGAUACACACGGGGAACUUCUCUUCUUCGCCCUCUUUCUUGAAGUCUGGACCCAAGAGGAGGUGGUUGUCGGACGGCCGGGUGUUCUCAGUGUCCGAACUGGACCCGGACGGGCACGGUGAGCCUGCGGAGUCCUCAGACAUGCUGGGGCUGGGAGCGUCAGAGUGACACUUCUCCUGUUCUUCUGUCAUCUUGAGAGCGGAGUGAAAGACCUGGUUUGAGCAAAGUCCAUCCAUCUGCUGAGGAAGACUGUGUCAUGUGGUUGAAAAAGCUACGCAGUUGGCAGAGUGGAGCUCGGCCCAUCCACGAGAGCUCCGGCUGGCAGCGCGAGGAGGUCGACUGGGGGAUUUGGAUGAUGAUUGCCUUGAUAUUCGGCUGUAACGUUGGCUUGUCUGGGGACUUUGCAGCUGAACAGAGGUCGUGUUGUCAGUCAUGUGUGACUGCAAACAUUUCCUGCUAACUGAAAACUCUCUGAUUUCUCUACCAAGGCUGUCUCUUUUGAUAUGGUGAAAUGAUUAGCUCUCACAUGAUACAGCACACUCGGUAUUAUGUGUAUUGUCCAUGCAUCGACAUCCCAAUCAGCAGCACAAUUAACCUGACGUGCAGAGCACUGUGCGUCACAAUUUGGUCAAAUCAGUCUGUCCAUCCCCAUGGAUGCUUCAUAAUCAGCAGCACUGUCUGCAGCUGCUUGGUACUGGGUGGCACGGAGGGCCUUAGGUGUCCCACAGGCAGUGCAACACUGCCACCAUGUUGAACAUGUGUACUACAGUGUCACAACAACUCCCCUUUCUUUAGCAUCACAACAUACUUUUUGGCAUUUUUGAAAAGUAAAGAAGUUCUGUUCUGCUGUGAGAUGACGAUAGUUUGCUUAAAGAAGAUGAAAUUAAGGAGUUAGAUGUAAACUUUUCACCCUAAUGCAUAUGAGUCCAGUAUCACUAGAGGUCCAGUAUGUGGCCCUGAGUGGGUCCGAUGUUUAGUGAAGCAGUAAUUGAGAAAAACAGAAGUCUGUAUGGGAGGUUGAAGACUCCGCGUCAAGCAGCCUGUAUUUCAUUUCACCAAUUUCACUUUAACACACGUACACUCCAAUAUUUGCUCCGGCCCUGCCCUUAAAAAACAUAGAAUAACAGAAAAGGCUCAGAUAAAAUCCCAGUGUGCAUUGUAUCUGCCUUGUUUACACUGACGGAUUCCCUUACCACUUGUGUUAAAUGUAGCCCUCCGUGUUAUUCUACCAAGCAAGAAAGAAAACAAUUACUGAAAAUGAGGCAGAGUUGAGAGGAGGCCUGUGUGUAAAAUAACAAAGACGUGCGACUGUUUGGAUCUGAUAAGCCCUGUCGAGUGUUUCCUCUAAUGCCUCUGAAAAUAAACAGCUGGGUCGAUGAGGUGAAUGGAGGCUUGGUUUGGGUCCUAACCGCUGCCGCAGCCCGGGAGCUUGUUUUAGGGGCUGGACCAUGCCAGGAGCAGUAAAGGGCCCCCAUCAGUGGCCCAGACGCCGAGUGAGUUAAACAGGUUAGUGUGUUGGCCGUCUGAACCUGCUGUGACACGCACUCUUUCAGAAAUAGUAUACUGGCAGGACACACACACAUAAAAACACAUGUAAAUGCAGAUCUAUCAAAAACACAGAGGAGCAUCCCCAGAGCUUCCAGCUGUUGACUGAAUAGUUCAUCAACAAGAGGAUUAAGAUGCCUGGCUGUGCUCUCAUGUACAAUCAUGUACCCAUUCACAUCAUGCCCGUAGACAUGUCUGAAAUGUUCUGUCUGUCAAAGCUGACUGACAGAUCUGGUGAUUAAGAUCAUUGACAUUUGAAUAAAGCCAACAAAUAAUUAAUUAUGAUUUUAAUCUGCUCUGUAAACCACUCGUCCUUAUUUCUCUUUUGAGAAAAUAUCAGAAACCAAAAAGUUCAAAUGUAUAUAUUUUAUAUUUUUGUUGUUGUUUCCGGGCCCUUAGUACUGCAAUCAUUUCACAGAAUUGUUUGAUAUUCUCGUCGCAUUCAAUUGAUUUGCUACCCUUUAAAACAUUUGUAAUAUUUUCCUGAUGAAAUAUGUCAAAUCCUGAAAAAGACACAAGUGGACCUUGAGUUUGGGAUGUUUUGCCAAACUAAUAUUUUCAAGGUCAAGAAUGAACUUUCAAGCUUAACUUGUGAGCCAACACAGAAGAGACGUCCUAGAACAGGCGUGGAUCAGCGUGCAUGUGAACACGUCCUUCUCGCAACUGAGCAACUUCAUCUGUUGAUGAAGGGCGUGGCAGAAGGUCCAGUGAAAAGUCCAGUGAAAAGGGCAGUAAGUCGACCAUGAGAUCACAUUGUUUUGUUUCGAUUUUUUGUUGCUCUCUUAAUCUUUUUGUAUUCUUAUGGCUUAAAAGAGCAAUAUACUACAUUCAGCACAUUAAUAUAGCAGCAAACAACUAUUUGCUUUGUAAAGAUAUAGUGGAGUAAUGUCUACCCGAGCAGAGAAUGAAGUCGCUUUUCCUCUGUGUGUGUCGUUAUCCGAGCUUCUUCUCGCUUUGUGCGGAUGCGUGUGCUUUUACUGCAUAUUUAUGCCCCUCUGGCUAGGUCAAGGUUGCAGCUCUGCACCGCUGUCAUAUGGCGGUUACAGCUCAUGACGGCGUCCCGACCACUAGCUUUAUGGUGGAGACAUAUCACUUGCCCUCCGGUUUUCCCUCUGGUAAACACUGUUAGCUCUGUCAGCACGCAGUUUGCGCCGUUAGCGCUAUUUGCCACAAGCCGCCGUCUCGGCUGCCGCCAUGUUGAGAGCCGUAGAGAGUCAAUCAAAAUUCUCCCAUCUUUUUGUAUGCACCUUUAAUCUAAUUUAAAAACAUUCAAUGUAUUUCCUACACAAUAAAACAUCUAAAAAAGGUUUUGAGUCCUUUAAAACCUGUACUACUGCCUCAAUGUGCAAGUAUGUAUUCUGUAUAAAUCCGCCCUCCUAUUUUAUAUUAAUCAAGUUUUUUCAAAACCUUUUUUAUUAUAUAAAUUCAACCAAAAGCUUACCAGUGGCCCAGUGUUUCCUGGUGUUUUUUCAGGUCUUGCCUCAACAUCUGAACUGAUCACCCAGACCAUGUCUCAAAAGUUAGUCCCACUGAAUCCCUCUGAGGUGUGUUUUGUGUUUAAUGUAGUAAAAUUCUGACCUCAUCCUCCUUUCAAAUGUUUCUAAAAUUAGUAUUUCAACAUGUCUGCACACCAGCACACGUCCUCACACCCAGCUGGUGUCUUACACAGGCGGAUAAAAUCACAUCCCUUUAAUCACACUUGAGCUUUGUUUGUUCAGCGCUUAUCAUAAUAUACACAGUUCAAUGGAGCAUUUAGUGGUUUAUUCAGAAUAAUGCAACAAAUGAAAGCAUUUGGUUGUUAAAUCACGAGGCAGCAGUGUUGUGUUUGUUUCUAUCACAUAGCAGAUUAUAGGAUCUUUUUGAGAAGACUAAAUAAAAACACUUCCAUGAUCCAACUUCCUUGACAUUAUCUGCUCAUCAGAGCGAGUGAUGUGAGCAAGACAGAGAGAAUGUGGGAAUUUCACUGGCAAACAGGCAGAGACAAGACCGGACUGCCAGCACACAGGAACAUGAACUCAUUCAUAAAAACCACAGAAAGAAAAACAUGCUUUAUCACCCAAACAUGCAGUAUCUCUCAACCUGUUCUGAUUACUUUUCUCUCUUUAUUCUAAAAGCACCAGCUGCUGAAGUCCUAAAGUACUGCAGAUUUAAAUAAUCAGGAUAAAUCAAAAGGUUAUGCUAUUUUGUAUACAUGCAUGAACUAUUUUGAAUAUACACAGAGCUUCAGCCAUGACAGCACAUCAGAACAAUGAAAUGAGGCCAUUGCAGACGUCUGGAUUGAGGCCAAGGGACAGAAUGUCCCAGAUCUGUCUGUUUAGAGGAAAACACUAUAUACCAGUAAAAGACAUGCACAUAAUUAUGCAUAAUUCCUUUGUCAGUGUGCUGCAAUGAUGUAACAAAAUGUUGUAUAGUCAGUCAAAUGUCGAAGUAUUGCCUUGCUCUGAAAAAAAAAAUGAUGGCAAUAUUACCUCAAAGGAAAAACUUAAAUGUGUUUUGUUUAAUUGCAACGUUUGUAACAUUUGUGAAUCUAACAACUAAAGUAUAAUGUGGAGUACCAGCUGACAGGCGAUAAAUGAUGAUAGUCGGGUCAGUAACACUCUUCAGUGCUUCCAGCAGCAUGAUUUUGAGGAAGUUUGGAGCCUCGGUUUGGCUCUGAUUGCUCGUUUGAGUUCAUGGGCUUAAAUAAAGACACUUAAUCACAAGUGCUCAGUGGAGUUUUUCCCGGACUGUGCAGGACUUUGCCAAGACCUCAGGCAGUCACAUCUCUGGAUUGGAGGAAAAAUAUUCCCCUCAGAUUACUGCAUGACUCACAAAAACAACUGCCUUGGGAGAAAUAUGAUACACAUAUUAUUUAGAUUUUAACAUAUGGCUUUAUGCCAGAUUUGAGUCAAGUACAAGUCACUUGCUACAUGUGUUAAAAGCACAAUCAGGAAAUGUACAACCAUACAAAAUACAGGUAUAUGUAAAUCAAUGCGCAUUUCCUUUCAUUACUGUUGUGUGUAUAUUUGGAGGUGGAAAAGAAAGCAGUUGGUGAGUAUUGUGUAUUCUUUUGAGUCUUCUUAUCAGUCCACACAUGUGUCAUGACAUGUUUUGUCUCGUCAUUGCCCUUUCUCGCAUUACGUUCUUUUAGAUACACCAUAUUUUCCACGUCAGCGGAAAAGCAUAAAAGCUAUUAUGCCAUCAAUUUGACUUUUUCGAACUUCCAAUGUUUUCUUUCAGGUUUGUGUUUGCACAAAUUGAAAAAAUGUGAUUAAAUCAUAUGGACGGAUAUAAAUCGAUGCGAAGUAGCAUGACAUAAAAGUCAACUCGUCAUGUUUAAUUUUGGUAGGAUAGGUGCAAACCAAUUUGCUCAAAACAAACGUUAAAUUAAGAGCCAAAAACAAGGAGCGCAAGGUGACCACACUGAAACUGGCAUAUUUUGUGUUAUGUCAUAGUAUGAUAUGUUACACAUUUACAUUUUAAAACAGCAACACCUAUUUUAUGAACUGAACUGGCAGACCAGCACUCAUCGGGCGGAUUCUCUUUUGAAUAGAAGUCAAUUCAAUCCCACAACAAAUUUCUGGUGGUCCUUUUUUUAUUGUCCCGACACAUUCUACAUAACUGUUUGCAGGGUGGGCACGACUGUCUGCCCACACCUUAUAAAAACGGCUUAACACACCUGGAAAAUAAAAUUCCGCUGAAAAAAACGCCUGUCUUCCAGGGCAACAUAAAGUCCGCCACCUCAACUCAUGACUAAUUGGCUGUUAACACUGUUUUUAACAAACCUGAGCUCUACCGUUAUACACUGAUGUGCAAAUGAACGGGCAGAAUUGGAAGAGACGUCAACAGUGUCGGAAACCAGGAGUCAUUUGUGUGCGACUGUGGAGCAGAGCUGUAUUCAUUUUAUAUUGAGCCUUCUGGACAGUAGGCAAAACAAGAUCUCUCUUAAUUCUUUGUCAUAGAUAGUGAUACAACCUACUCUGUAAACCUGCAUCUGUACAGCAUGUUCAGGUGCAUCCAUUAUUUCACAAUAGAUACUAAAACAACAGCAAACCUGAGGAUAUGAAGAUCUGUUGAAGGUACUCAAAAAUGAGUAGAUAUUACUGAAACUUAAAAUAGUUCCAUACAUCAUCUUAAAGCUUUUUAAUAUAGUAUUACAUUUUGUAUUCGUUUUUUCGUGUGGACAACUGUUCAAAUCUUUCCCUGUCAACAUGUGGGCUAUUGGAUGCACAUGACCAGCUGUAUAUAAUGUCAAAUGUACUGUGUAAUGGCAGCAUGUACUGCUGCUCAGUCUGGAAGAAAACAGGUCUCUCGAGUGCUGCUCGGCACAGUGCUGACGCGUCCACUCCAUUCUAAAUACUGUACGUGCAACAACUCCGCUUAUGGCCUCCACCAACCAACUUCGAUAUGGAGAGUUUAAAAAAAGAAGCGAGGUAAAUCAGAGCUAAAAUAGGUGUGUUUUCCAAGGUUUAUUUUUAGGAGAUCGUGCCGCACAUCGAGUCGUAAAGGUAUUUAUUUAUUUUCUUUGUCGAGAUGUCUUUUUACUUGUGCACGUUGACAGUUAACAAGUUCGGGGAAGUGAAGACUAAGUAUUCAUUGAAAGGGAAUUCACCCUCUACAGGAAGCUGGCCAACAGACGAGCUUCUUAUUUUUCACAAAGGCAUCUAACAAAGUGGUCCAACCGGUGGCUGUCAGUUGUUUCACCCAGUCUAAUAUUACAAGGUAAUUACAGGGCAAGACAUUUUUUGCAUUUAAUAUAUUGCUUAAUUAUCGAACUAUACUAUACAAUAUAUCACACAACCCUCGGUAUAAUGGCCCAAAAGCUCCAAUGACAAGAUUAAACAUAAUACAUAAUCAUGUAAUACAUCUGAAUCAGCUGGCUACUGUAUCGCGAUUACUACCAUGAAGUUUUUUGGGAUACUGUUGCACAGUGUGUUGAGCAGGCAGGUUUUCUCUUCUUCUCUUACCCCCCUAUGGGUCAGUGGGAGUGUAAAUGUCACUCUGAAUUGAUGAACUGCCGUCUGAGCUGACUUGUCCAAUAAAGAUUAUCAGUUUCAGACUAAAGGCUAAAUGAUCCAUGUGUUUUGAUCUGAAGCGUUAAUACAAAUGUCUUUCAUUUCGUGUUGGUGAAUAGUUUCAAAAGCCAAUUUCAGUUAUUGUUAUUAACGUUAAAUAAACUUGUAUGUUGAGGAAUUAAGCAAUUUUAACACCUGGUAACAAUGUUAACUUUUACCAUGAAAAAGGUGAAAGCAGUUAGUUAAAGCUGGUUGAGACAAAGGUCCUUUUAAGAUACAAAGUGCAGGUGACCAACUUGUAUUCAAGUCAUGUGGCUGGCUGUCAGGCUACAACCUGAUUGUUAACACCCCACAGCGAGACCUGUUGCCCUGGGCUAUUAGUCAUCCUGACAAGCAUGGCGUAUGUGCCACUCUCUCUGCUCAUGACACACUUGUUUCCACCAUCUCCCCACCUUCUCACACUACUCCAGCUCUGAUAUAUUCCUAACGCAUAGUGGCAAGAGUGACACAACGCCACUGAACCAAAACAAGCACCUAUCAAUUACUGAUGAAAGAGGCCUUUUACCUAUUUUUUUUACAUCAUGUUCGGAGUAGGGCGUGGAUGAGACGCGAAGCUAUGUCAGAGCGGAGGAAGAAAUAACUUUGACGAACUAAGACGGCAAACCUGCAACGUUUAGCAAUGUUAUAUCAAACAAUGAUUUAAUUAAAUGACCUGUGCUUGAAAAUUAAGAAAAAUAUGAUUUCCAACACAAAAAAGGGUUUUAUGAAUAGUUAUGAUAAAAAUAGAAGUAAGCAAUAGUGCGGUGAAAUUGCAAAAUAGAAAUUAAAUGUGUUGGGUACUAAUUUACACAAAAAACAGAUGAUUAAUAUUGUGCUACUACUUUUAAUCCUCUUUGAGUCUCAUAAUGCAAUUUAUGGAAACAUAGGAACACAUGCGAUUUGUUUCCCUACUUUUUUGCUUUUAAAAUAAACACAUUAUUACUUUCUGGAUUACAGAUAGUAAAACUCUCUGGGAUACGUUUUUAAAUGAAGUAAUAGUUCCGCUUUAUCUUGUCUCAGCUAUGUUCCCUGACCUGUCUACACAAAGGGACACUUUUGAGCAUGUGGAUUCAUCUUUAACUUUGUGAGAGGAGGAGAUGUCGCUAUUAAAAUUAAAUCAAUCUGAUUUAUGCUGCCAUCGAUACACGUCAUUUGCAGAUCCUAAGUCUUAAAACAGCCUCAGGACUAUUGUUUUUUGUUCUUUGCAUGUCACGCUUAAAAGUUGACCUCUGAAAGGCCACCAUAUUAAAGUAAUAGCUAUAUGCAGUUUUGUCCGCCGUGUUAUCGAAAUAAGGUAUUAUAACGAUAUUAAUGUGUCCAUUCAUGCGCACAGUGAUGCACUAAUGUUGACUUAUUUUGAGGUAUAAUCCGUGUUUUUGUUCGGCAUUGGUUUGUGACUUCUGUCUGAGUUGACAUGCAAAGUUUAGCCAGCUGUAAGAAAUAUAAGAAGUGAUUUAAUAUAAGACCAGGCAGGGAUUCAGUACGCUGUUAAAGUCAUUAAGAGCUUUCUCUUCUCUUUCAUCAUGUCCAGGUUGGAGGCCUCCCUUCGGGCUGCUGCGAAGAGGAGACGUGAUCAGCGGAUCAAAUUUGGGGCCAUAGAUAAUGUAUGUGGUUAAUUUACAGCUUGGAGGUUUCUUAAUCUUGUCCUUCGCUGGUCCCGAGGUGACAAGCAAAGCUGUAUUCAGAAACUCUGAGGUGUAAUCAGCAAUCAGAAAUAGGAAGCCGGACGUCAGGCUUUUAUAAAUGGUUUCCUCAGAGGAGUUUGAUUUACUGUCCCGAGCACAGUUGAACUUACAGUGUGUGCGUUGAAGCGAUGAAGGGGAGGGAUAAUAGAUGCUUGAAGAUCUGGGUGAGCACAGAACUGCAAAUUGCCUUUGAAAGAACAAUAUCCCCAAAAUCAACUUAAAUGCUUUUUUAUGUCUGAGGAAUUGAUUUAUGCUGGGCUUAGUCCGUAUAUAAACCAUCACAUGCACUGGAGGUCUUGCCCUUUGACCUUACUAUUCCUAAAGGGGGAAAACAUCUGUAAAGACUGCAAUGGGUAUGGGGUGACAUGACGUUUGUGAGCUGAGGUUCUUGUUGAAACAUAUAAAGCCCAUUUUAUUUUAUAUUUAUUUAAACCAGGACAGCUGCUCUCUCUUUUUUUCAUGAUUUUGAAAUAUAGUGUUCCUAUUUCAGUACCAAGCUUUCAUAUGUAAGUGUAAUAUUGUCAUUAUAUAGUUUUUAAUUACUGUUAGGAGGAAAUAAAGAAAGACUGAAAAUGUGGUAAUUACUGAAGCUUGUGGAGGACCAAAAUUUGGGGAAAUGUUUUUCAUAAGAGUGAUUCAAUUAUUUACCUGGUUGUUAAAUUUGCAGUCAUUAUUUUACAGUUGAUUGAUUUAGAGUGACUGAUUAUUUGAAAUGGUAUGCGCAUAGUAAGACACCACAUGCUAGAAGUAAUUUGUACAAGUAAUUAUCUCUUUAACACAUCCAGCCAUGUCUUUUUUUCAUGAGGAAGCUGUUACCAGUCACGGGGUCAAAUAAUGUCCUCAUUAAAAAUGUUGAUCUUUGCAACUUAACUGCAAAAACAAAUCUCAGUAAAUCCAGAAACACAUUUGCAGAUAACUUAUUGGUCUGCGGAUGUUACGGCGUACGCACUCUUAUCCCCACAUCCUCCCUUAGGGACCUACACCAAAGUGGAAAAGGGGCACAUCACUCAUAUUUAUGGAAAUUUAUCUGGGAGAGCUCUCCCAUGGCGCUCGGCUUCUCAGCGGGUGCCAUGCAAACGCAGACGAUGAUCUCUCCAGCAGCUGCCUGACCAGGACAGACCUGUGAUUCCCAUCAAAAGGCCACCGUAAGGUUUCCAAAACAAAACACUGCAAACAUAGUUUGAUCACUCCGUUUGGAAUUAGUGUUGAUGAAGUGUGGCUUAAUUAGGGGAAAUGUUGAUUAGUUCUUCCUCUGCAGCAGCAGCUAUAGGUCCUCAGAGGUUGAAAGAGGGGCCACGGAUUUGAAUGUUCUCAGACCCCAGCCCUCAUUUGACCUCAGGAUUCAUCUUGAUGAGCAGGAUUUGAAAAAGGAGAUAUUGAUACAUCCAAGUGCAUUACACAUUUUGGUUGAAUGUUGCAAAAAAGCUGAUUUUCUAUCUAUGAAAAAUAAGUUUGAGAACAAUGGUAAUUCCAAUCAGUGCACACAAGCCUCUGACCUCUCAACUUGCUUGAUUUGAAAUGCAUUCUCAUUUAUUAGAAAUGAGUAGAAAAUGUGUUUUUGAGGUCAUAAUUGCUUUCUACUAAUUGGUGAUGCGUUUAAGUGUUUCCAUUUGCUGUAAAACAUCAAUUCUGAACCACAAGCUUUUACAUUUACUCGUCACUUUCUGCUUUCCUCUUUUUGAUUUCAUUUAAUUCUUACUUUCAUGGCUAAACCAAAGUUGUCUUGACAUCUUUUUAAGGAUUGAACAGAUAAACCAAUGAUAAGUUGUUGACUUCACAGUUUUCAGGCUGUGACCCGGACUUAGAACCUGUACACGGUUAUAAAAUGUAUUUACGUCUGUCAAUACUAGAUCAGGUUUCCUUUAGCUGGCAGCUUGUCAUCCGCCAAGACAAAGGUGACUGAUGUCGUUAUGUUUUAAGUAAUUAAAGCGUGAUUGACGGCUGAGUUUGUCUGCUGGGCUUCACUUCAAAGUCAACAGAAACUAGACUGAGACUUUGUCUGCUGUAACUCCAGAGAGUGACAUAACAAUUUACAAAAGACCACAAAGUGUUAACGUAAACUCAAAUACAACACAUUCACACAAUAUGUGGUGAUUGUAGUUGGGAUCACAUUAAUAUAAGAAGCUGCUAUAUAAAUAAAUAGUUAAGUUACCCUUUUAGUUUAAAGGUAUUCAGAGCGUUAAUUUAGCAGCAAACUAAAUCAACACAUUCUUUUCUUUUCAACUAUUGGACGUGGCGUGUCAGUAUACCGUACGCUGUCCUGUGAUUGUUUGACCUCCCACCUCGCCUCCCACCUGCCUUUAUUCUAAGUCAGUUGCUCUGAGGUUGUAAUAAGGACGGGGUU
Molecule: long non-coding RNA, 11349 nt
Organism: Anarrhichthys ocellatus (wolf-eel)
Lineage: Eukaryota; Metazoa; Chordata; Actinopteri; Perciformes; Anarhichadidae
Exons: 3
Source: RefSeq, a predicted model, not a curated record